AGUGGGAUAGCUGGGUCAAAUAUUGGUUCCAUUUCAAGUUUUCUGAGGAAUCGCCAUACUGCUUUUCAGAAUGGUUGCACGAAUUUGCAAUCCCACCAGCAAC
This 103-nucleotide microRNA precursor is filed under the name Marmota monax (woodchuck). The record is from RNAcentral. Lineage: Eukaryota; Metazoa; Chordata; Mammalia; Rodentia; Sciuridae.